RNAcentral lists this ribosomal RNA (473 nucleotides) under uncultured bacterium. Its description in RNAcentral is "bacterial SSU rRNA". It matches the Rfam family "Bacterial small subunit ribosomal RNA", at positions 1 to 465 of the family's 1533-position model. The record is from RNAcentral.
CCCUUAGAGUUUGAUCCUGGCUCAGGACGAACGCUGGCGGCAUGCCUAACACAUGCAAGUCGAACGGAGAUUAUUUCGAUAAUCUUAGUGGCGAACGGGUGAGUAACGCGUGGGCAACCUGCCCUCUAGAUGGGGACAACAUCCCGAAAGGGGUGCUAAUACCGAAUGUGACAGCAAUCUCGCAUGAGGAUGCUGUGAAAGAUGGCCUCUAUUUAUAAGCUAUCGCUAGAGGAUGGGCCUGCGUCUGAUUAGCUAGUUGGUGGGGUAACGGCCUACCAAGGCGAUGAUCAGUAGCCGGUCUGAGAGGAUGAACGGCCACAUUGGGACUGAGACACGGCCCAGACUCCUACGGGAGGCAGCAGUGGGGAAUCUUCCGCAAUGGGCGAAAGCCUGACGGAGCAAUGCCGCGUGAGUGAUGAAGGAAUUCGUUCCGUAAAGCUCUUUUGUUUAUGACGAAUGUGCAGAUUGUGAAU